This is a non-coding RNA of Benincasa hispida (wax gourd), 845 nucleotides long. The record is from RefSeq and is a predicted model, not a curated record. Lineage: Eukaryota; Viridiplantae; Streptophyta; Magnoliopsida; Cucurbitales; Cucurbitaceae.
GGAAAGAGAAUCGAAACACACAAAUGGUGUACGUGGAAAACCCUAGGCUAGAGGGAAAACCAUGAUCUAGACUUGUUUUUUAUUAUUCAAGUGAUACAGAAAUACAAGAAAACUUGCUCAAAUAAAUAGACAGAUAGAAAGCCCUAGGCCCACAAAGAAAUUACAAAUAAGCCCCUAGGAAAAAACAACCAUUUUUCAACAUGUUCUUUGUUAUUUUCCUCACUUACAUCUUCUACAAUAUCCAACAAUGAAAUCAUAUAGAAGCUAAGUCCCUGUUUUCUUUUGCUUUCCUUAUUACUUGAACACCCUCAUCUGUACUCCACCUCCAUCCAUUUUGCACAUGCUUUUCCUCAUUCAUUUGGGCCAAAUGGAACUCGUGACAAACUUUUUAGGCGAGGAAGCAUUUUUUGAUGGGAUAACCUAUAGUAAAUUAGCACACAUCUAAUUCAAAAGUUUGAUUUAUAGUUAAGCUAAAAGGAAAAGUAGAUUUUAUGGCUUUCUUUUUAUUAUUUUGUAUUUUUUAGAUUUGAAGCAGCCAUGAUAAAGAGAUUGAUUCAACUUGAAAGAGGGUUUGGGGAAACAAUUGUGAAUCGGUACUGAUACAUUUCAAAUAAUGAACACAAUGGAUCUUGCUACAUUUGUUGAACCAUGGAAAUUGAGCCAAUCACUCAACAGUAAGAGAUUGAGUAGAUCAUUGGGAUUGUGGAGAAUAAAUGUUGUAUUGCAUUGAAAAAAUGAAGAUUGAAAGAUACAUAUAUAUCCUGGAAAUUAGAAAGAUAGUUACUUUUCUUUUUCUUUUUUUUUUUUAAGAAACAAAUUAUUGACUCUAAUGUAAUCUGAAGAAC